GAUGUGGAAACACGUCAUCACCGUGCGCCGCAGCGGGAGCCGGCGCGGGAGCGAAGGGGCGCCGCCAUGGCCGGCAUUCUGUUCGAGGACAUCUUCGAUGUGAAGGACAUCGACCCCGAGGGGAAGAAGUUCGACCGUGUGUCCCGGCUGCACUGCGAGAGCGAGUCGUUCAAGAUGGAUCUGAUCCUGGACGUCAACAUCCAGAUCUACCCCGUGGAUCUCGGGGACAAGUUCCGUCUGGUCAUUGCCAGCACCCUGUAUGAGGAUGGGACGUUGGAUGAUGGGGAGUACAACCCCACUGAUGACCGGCCCUCCAGGGCGGACCAGUUUGAGUACGUGAUGUAUGGCAAGGUGUACAGGAUUGAGGGGGAUGAGACGUCCACAGAGGCAGCCACACGCCUCUCUGCUUAUGUGUCCUAUGGGGGGCUGCUCAUGCGCCUUCAGGGAGACGCAAACAAUCUGCAUGGGUUUGAAGUGGACUCCAGAGUUUACCUGCUGAUGAAGAAGUUGGCCUUCUAGGAGAUGAUGCACCUCAGAGGGCUGCCUGCCCCCAGAGACAUUCUGUUGGAGAGCAGAAAGGACACCAUCACCCCAAAUCCUGCCCCAGCACCUUUGCUGCCCAGUCCCUCCAGUGGUGGUGGAGGAGGGGACUUUCCCCCUUUGUCAUCCCAGUCUUUUCUGACUGUUUCCCUUCUGUGCAGGGGCUGAUGCCUCAUUCUCAGUGGAGACCGUGGGUGCUCUGUGGCCCUGCCUGCUGAUCUCACCUUCCUGCACUUCAAAAGCAGGCUUAGCCCCAGCUCUAACCAGGGGCCGCUGGACUGGGGCACUCACCUGUCUGUGCUAGGGCUGGGCAUCAUUUUCUAAGGAGCUGUUCUGAGACAGAUGUGGCUUCUUAAUUAAACUGCUAUGUGUUUUCUAGAUGUGGUUGUUGUGGCAAGGUUGGCUUCCCAGAAUGCCGGUUGGUAGAUGAAGAUGGGAUGCUCAUGGAGGAUGUUGUGGUAGCAGACAGCAAAGGUACCACAUCAGGGGCACUGGCUUUCAAGCUGCAGCUCCUGGAGGGGCUUGGCCUAGUCUGAGUGAUGCUGUGUGACCCCAGAGCUCAGCACAGUGAAAUUGGCAGGUGGAUACUGGAAGGCAAGGGGCAUUAUUAUCUCACAUCCCCAGCUGAGCCCACCUGCCCUGCAGAGAUGGCAGCCACCACAGGAGGGAGCUGGACACUGGGAAAAUCAGGAGCGUUUGUUCCCCAGCUAUUGCCUCCCCCAGAGACUGGUGUAUGCUCCUUAGGCCAGUGCUACAGCAGGGGGAACAGGAAGACACAAACAAUCCUUUAGAAAAAUAGGUCUUUAAUUGUAAAGCAUUCACAGUCUGAUAGGAGCAGGGCAUGUGCCUCGUGCUGCACAGGUAUGGCUGCUUUUGACCUCUGUGGGCCGUGUGAUAGCCAAAGGCUUGUGGAAAAGGAGCCAACCCUUUCCCCGUGGCACCUUCCUGGGCAUCCAGAGCACGGCUCCUUCUCCUGUGGGAUUGCUCUGACCUUUUAUCAGUGUUAAAUCCCGUGUACAGCUUCAUCAGUCCCUGGACUGGAGGUCCCUGCUUCCCCCCGAUCUCAGUCACACGAGUCCUUAGCCAGGUUGUGGAAGAAGAAGCGCAGCUUGCCCUGCACCAGCUGUCGGUAGGUGAGGAAGAUCUCAGUGACUUCAGUCUGCUCAAUGGAGCGAGGGGAGCAGCCUGGCUCCCAGGGCCCUUCCUGAGGGGCAAGAGUGAGAUGGGGGGGUUACAGAUGCUAUCAUGCCCAGCGGACACGUGCCCUGAAGUUGUCUUUACUCACACAUGGAGGUCUCACCUCCCAGCCGAAUGUCUGUAGGAGCAGGAGGAAGGAGUUGGCGUGUCGAUAGAGCUGGCUCAGCUGCCCGGCCCCGCAUUCCUGGCUCACCUGGCCCUGAGCCUCUGUCACAGCACCCACCAGCAGCACCAGGUUGCACAGGAUCUCACGCCACUUGAUCUCAUCCUGUGGAGCAGUGUGUGUGCUGACCCCACUGGCACAGGGCUGCAGGCCCAUCCUUCCCACGCCCACCCUUGAUACGGAUGGAUCCUCCACCUUAUCCCCACACAACGCUCCUGUGCUGCUGUUCCUACAAGCUUAUUGUUCAGCUUGCUUGGUGACCAUACCCCUCUGCUUACCCAGGGGCUCCCCCUCGAGUCCCACGGGCACCCCAGCACCAUCCUCCCAGCCCCUCUCACCGAUUUGCUUUUCCACUGUCGCAUGUUGAAGUCCACCAAAGGCAGAACCACGGGGCAGCUGAGUGCAGGUAGUGCCUGGCACUCGCUCUGUUGGGGGAGAAGAGCUGCUGCAGUGAGAUGCCAGGAGCUGUUCCCAGCUCUGUCUUGCCAGCGCAGCCUGGUUCUGGGUUUUGGGGGGCACUGCUUCCUCACCACUCUCUUCUCCAUGUCCUUGGCCUCCCCGAUGUACUUCUGGAUAAGUCUCUUGUCGCAGACCGGUCCAAUCGGCCUGGCAUGGCCCUCUUUGACGUGCAGGAGGAAAGAUGUGAGGAGCAGUAGUCCUGGGAAAGAAGGGGAUACUCGUGGGCACCUGACCACCCUCUUCAGAGAGCCCCAGCUCAGGGUGCAAAGUGCCGGGAUUCCUGCUGCGGGGAGCAGCCGUUCACACCCACUCCAACAAGUGCCAAGGGCAGCCGGAGGUGCCAGGCAGCGGGGGAGGACCGGGCAG
Non-coding RNA from Coturnix japonica (Japanese quail), 2725 nucleotides. NCBI's taxonomy places the organism in Eukaryota, Metazoa, Chordata, Aves, Galliformes, Phasianidae. The record is from RefSeq and is a predicted model, not a curated record.